AAAAUGGCUCUCAUCAGAGCCACCUUGGAUCCCAAAUAGGAAGAUGU
Sorghum bicolor (sorghum) is the source of this 47-nucleotide non-coding RNA. The record is from Rfam. NCBI's taxonomy places the organism in Eukaryota, Viridiplantae, Streptophyta, Magnoliopsida, Poales, Poaceae.